This 307-nucleotide long non-coding RNA is filed under the name Felis catus (domestic cat). RNAcentral's name for it is "lncRNA (ENSFCAG00000053607.1)". The record is from RNAcentral. Lineage: Eukaryota; Metazoa; Chordata; Mammalia; Carnivora; Felidae.
AGGUCAAAAUGGAAAGGUUUUGCAAGAAUUUGAAACAAUAGCUACAAAUACGUUGUUCAAUUUAUAACAAUGAGAAACAUAUGGAUAGGCCUUUUUGAAUACUGGAGUUCCACCAUUCAGAGCAAAAAGGGCACUAGAAGAACAGAUGACUGAGAGCUUUCUACUGACUCAAGAUGGAGAAGCAGAAGAGGCAAAGCUGAAGCUACUAGAGGACAUGUUUAAAGAAAAUGAAAAUAGGAGUUUCAGCAUAGGAGACAAGCAAGGAGCAAUAUCAUGCUACAUUGAGCACCAGGGAAGAGAGAUGGAG